AGCUGAUCAGAGAACCCCCUAAAAAUAUGCAAAAACCAGUAACAGACCUCCUUGUGUCUGGGCAAGAGGCCCAGUCACUGUCACAGUAGGCAGAUAGGGCUAAAUCAGGAGAGUUAUUAAGGAAGACCCCAAGAUCAGGAGUGCCUUUAAGGUAUCUAAGGGUGUGUAGGGCAGCAUUCAUGUGAGUAGAGGAAGGGGUUUGAAGAAACUGACUAAGAUGUUGGACAGCAAAGGCUAAAUCAGGUCUGGUAUGAGUGAGGAAAUUAAGUUUGCCAACAAGGCUCCUGUAAGUGUCAGGGGAAGAAAGAGGAGUACCCAUUUCUUGUUUGAGUUUGACAGAGAGAUCAAGAGGACAAGUCACAGGAGUAGCAUCAAGGCAAUUAUAUGAAGUGAGAAGGUCAGUAAUGAACUUCUUUUGGUGAAGGAGAAGACCAGCAGAACAAUAACAUAUAUAUAUAUAUAUAUAUGAUAGCUAUAAGAAGUAAUUAAGUAUAUGGUAGCUAGUAUUUUCAUGUUGCAAUUGCUCUCCGUUUUCUUUUCGAUUCCAAAUAAUUGAGAAAUUUUAUUAGAACAAUUUGAAAACUAAGAAUCUUGAAAUUGAAUUGAGGCGUUUAUGUUCAGUUUGCUCAAUAGAGUAAAGUUGGAGGCGAGUUUAUGGUAGAACCUCAGUUAGAAGUAAUUGGAGUUAAGUGUAAUGAAGUAAAACGAGUGGUGUUAAAAUGUACUUUUCAUUUUAAUUAUUGUAAUAUUGAGAAGUGAGGCGAACAAGAUGGUAAUCUCACACGAUUAGGGUUUCUACUUCUUCGUUUCUAGCCUUAUAAAGCGAGCGCAGUAGCUACAUUCCUCUUCAUCUCUCUACCCCUGCCUCCACACACACGUACAGUUUGUAUUUAUCGUUUCUCAAUAGGUUUUAUAUUUAGUUGAAGAGCUGUGAUGAGAUCUGGAGAUAGUCAUGCACCACUCUUACAAAAUUUAUUUUUUGAGUGAUGAUAAAUUUCUCAUACCCAUUUUGCUUCUGAGCUCUUAUACAUGCUUUUCGAUUUUACUAUAAUGUUGCUUUUUAAAUAUCCAAUGGAUGAUUUUUGAGCUUCAAAUGAACUCAUUUUGCUUGAGCUCUUAUACAUGCUUUUCGAUUUUACUAUAAUGUUGCUUUUAUUUUUCAUAGGAAAUGUUUUAAGAAUUACCAAUAAAUAAUUUUUUCUUGGAAGGAGGAGCCGCGUGAUGCGAUCGAAAGAUCGAACCAUGAUGCGGACCGUACAACAGCCUAAAGCUUCUGGGUUUGAACUUUGGUUUCUGAUGGCUCCUUAUUAUUUUUUCAAUUUCAGUUUAAUGUAUUUCGUUUGCCUCUGGUUUCUGAUAUAAUUUUCUUUGUCCGGAAAAAUGGAGUGAGGGAUUUACAUUUCAAUAUAAGAAAUUGGCAUCUUCCCAUACCCAGUGUUUUGGAGAGCGCAAAAAAGCGACAAGGGCUCGCCUCGCUUCAAAGCGUGUUAACAUCCAUGGUAGCCAUGGAUUUGAAGGAGAAAUGAAGAAGAUGAAUAGUGACAGAAGAGAGAGAAGAGAGGAUUCUGAAAUAAUAUUUUUUCUCGAAUGUUCUGUACAACCGACCCUCUUCCAUAUAUCAAAAUACAAAACUAAUGAAAAUAUCUGUGUGUGUGUGUAUACAAUGUGUGCCACAUAAAAUAAAUACAAUGGCUGUUUUUACAAUGGCUAUUGCUCAAAUGCUUAAAUGUGGCUAUUUGUACAAUGGCUGCUGCUGCUUGAGUUUGUGCUUCAGUUUGGGCUGUUGUUCACGUGAGCCCAAUAUCUCAACAUAAGAUUUAAAGAAGCCAGAUAGAACAUGGUGCAGUGUGAUGAGACCUUCCUGAAGUUUUGUCCGAAUGAAAUGGCAAUCAAGUUCAAUGUGUUUUGUUCGCUCAUGAAAAACAGGUUUGUGGGCAAUGUGGAUGGCAGCUUGGUUAUCACAAAAAACAGGGACAGCAGAGAAAACAGGGAACCCAAAAUCAGAGAAUAAACGAGUAAGCCAAGUGAGUUCACCAACAACUUUGCUCAUAGCCCUAUAUUCAGCCUCAACUGAAGACAAGGACACUACAGGCUGCUUUUUAGCUUUCCAGCUGAUCAGAGAACCCCCUAAAAAUAUGCAAAAACCAGUAACAGACCUCCUUGUGUCUGGGCAAGAGGCCCAGUCACUGUCAGAGUAGGCAGAUAGGGCUAAAUCAGGAGAGUUAUUAAGGAAGACCCCAAGAUCAGGAGUGCCUUCAAGGUAUCUAAGGGUGUGUAGGGCAGCAUUCAUGUGAGUAGAGGAAGGGGUUUGAAGAAACUGACUAAGAUGUUGGACAGCAAAGGCUAAAUCAGGUCUGGUAUGAGUGAGGAAAUUAAGUUUGCCAACAAGGCUCCUGUAAGUGUCAGGGGAAGAAAGAGGAGUACCCAUUUCUUGUUUGAGUUUGACAGAGAGAUCAAGAGGACAAGUCACAGGAGUAGCAUCAAGGCAAUUAUAUGAAGUGAGAAGGUCAGUAAUGAACUUCUUUUGGUGAAGGAGAAGACCAGCAGAACAAUAACAUACUUCAAUACCAAGAAAGUAAUUGAGGACACCUAAAUCUUUGAUUUUAAAAGCAGAAUCCAGAAAGGCCUUUAAGGCAUUAAUUUCUUGCAAGUCAUUCCUAGUUAAGAUAAUAUCAUCAACAUAUACAGCCAACAACACAAUGGAAGAACCAGAUUUCUUAUGAAAAAGAGAGUAAUCAUUGAGGGAGGAAGAAUACCCCUUAGAGCUUAAAGCCUCAGACAACUUGGCAUACCAUUGCCUAGAGGCUUGUCUUAAACCAUACAAUGAUUUCUGAAGAAGGCACACUAAAGGAGAAGAAGAAGAAGAAGGAGAAGAAGAAGUAGAAGAUACAGUCAGACCAGGAGGUAGUUUCAUAUAAACUUCCUCAUUUAAAUCACCAUGGAGGAAAGCAUUGUCGACAUCAAGUUGGAAGAGAGUCCAGGACUGUUUCACAGCAACAGCAAUCAAAGAUUUGAUAGUUGAGAAUUUAACAACUGGGGAAAAAGUAUCAGUGAAGUCCACACCCUCUACCUGAGUGUCACCCCUAACAACCAACCUGGCUUUAUAUCUUUCCACACACCCAUCAGCCUUAUAUUUCACCUUAUAAACCCAUUUGCACCCAAUUGGUUUCUUCCCAGGUGGGAGAGGAACAAUGGACCAAGUAUUAUUGGCUUGCAAAGCCUCAAAUUCCUUGGUCAUGGCAUCCUGCCAGGCAGGAUCAGAGGCAGCUUGCUGGUAGGAAGAUGGUUCAGCAGAUGCCAUGAGGACAGAGCUAUUACAACAAGAGGAUAAAGAACUAGUGCCAGAAAGGGAUGGAGGUAGAUUGCAAAUGUAUUGUUGAAGAUGGGCAGGAUGGACAUGGGGUCUGGAUGACCUUCUAAGAAGAGGUAACACAGGGUCUGGUGGAGUAGCUGAAGGAGAAACAGUAGGAGGGCAAUGGACUGAAAUAUCAACAUCAGAAGAGGGUGGAUUAAAUGUUGAGAUAGGAGGAGAGGAUGAAGAAGGAGCAUUAAAUGUUAAAGAGGAGCUGAGUAAGGAGUCAUCAGCAGUAGGUGAACACACAACAGGAGGAGGAAUAGAGGAGGAACUCCCUGAAGAAGCAAAAGGAAAAAUGGUCUCAUGAAAAGUAACAUCUCUAGAGACAAG
This 3685-nucleotide long non-coding RNA is filed under the name Nicotiana benthamiana. RNAcentral describes it as "long non-coding RNA (NBEN_LNC025361)". The stretch from base 926 to 1023 matches the Rfam family "Small nucleolar RNA Z221/R21b". Lineage: Eukaryota; Viridiplantae; Streptophyta; Magnoliopsida; Solanales; Solanaceae. The record is from RNAcentral.